Molecule: long non-coding RNA, 1999 nt
Filed under: Bemisia tabaci
Lineage: Eukaryota; Metazoa; Arthropoda; Insecta; Hemiptera; Aleyrodidae
Description: lncRNA ENSSSA1NGG012565
Source: RNAcentral
CAUUUCUCAGAACUCUUUUUCAUGUUUCUCAGAUCGUAAGAAAUUGAAAACCUUCUAGAACAAGAAAGAAAAACUAGAAUCUGAGAAACAAGUGAUUGAAGCUGCCAAGAAGAGUUGGAACUUGAUAAGACUGAACUAAAUGCUGAAAUAACAAGAUUAAACUCCGAAAUCAAGGCUUUGACGACCAACACUCAAGAGAAAGGAAAACAAUUCGAGUCUCUUAACAAACAACUCGAAGCAGAGAAGAAGUCAGUCGAAAUUUUGAGGCAAAAUUUAGAGGACAUGAAAGCUCUUGAGGAAGAGAACAAUAAACUAAAAAAGAGGUAUGUAGUACUCCUGAGUUUUUACCAAAGAAACAUUCUAAUUGACUAAAUAAUUUACAAUGUGCACCAAAACUAGGAAAAAAUUUAAUUCCUCAACUAAAGUUACUGCGAGAUUACCAGACUGCAAAAUACUAAUUGUAAUCUAAACAUAAAAGCAUCAUUCUCAUCACCUGCUACCAUUUGAACAAUCAAAGUGGAUAUUUGCCUUCUAUUGAAUAAUGCCAAACCCUCCUUGGCAGGGUUGUUCAAUUUUCGCAGGUUUUUGAAUAAUUUUUGAUGCGUUGGCCACAUUUUCUCUAAAACUUGGGAGUGCAAAAUUUGCACCCCCAAGUUUUAGAAAAAAUAUGAACCUUGCUGGGCAGCUUUAAAAAGACACUUUUCCUCCUAUUGGCUUCCUAAAGAAAGCUUAUUCUGUUCUUCUUUUCUCUUCUGCUUUUCUCUUCUUCUUUUUGAAAGAAGCCUUUAUUUAAAAUUUACUCUCACUAUGAAUGGAUAUGUUAUGCGCUGCUUAUGAAGAUCAAGCGAAUCAAGGAAACUGCAUUCUAGAGAGGUGUUUUUCAUUUGGGUCUUAAUCUGGUCAGCCCCGGCUGUUCAUUAGAUAGACAUCUGUAUUUAUCAGAAUUUUUAAACUUUUACAGGAUAUUUUUUGUCACUAAUUACCUGUGUGUUACACUUAUUUGCUUUUCCACAGCUCAAAGAUAUCUCUCAAAAAUCCGCCGAGUAUGAAAUUAAAUUGAAGGAACUAGAAGAUAAACACAAAAAAUCUGAGAAACUAUUAAGUGCAAAGAAAGAAAAAGUAUCAAAAUUAGAGAAACAAGUAAGUCUAGUUUUCUACAAAGAACUUCUAUAGAGACUUGCAGUUAUUUCUCAAGAUCUCAAGUCUGUUUAGUGUAAGCCUCUCCAAAAGAAAAAAAAAAACACCAAAAUCUUAUCCCAAAGUCUGUUUGCUUGCUAAAAAUCAACUCAUUAUAAGAAAAGCUCUUGUUAUUUAAGCUCUCAAUAUUAAGGAAAUUCCGCUUUUGAGCGGGACUUUGUGACAAGAAAAGAGAAUGAAUCAAAUGAAAAUGCGAUAAAUUGUAAAUUUUAAUGUAUUGCGAUUCCUCAUAAGUUUUUCAUCUGUUCCUGUUAAAAAAUUUUAAGUUCAGAGGUGCUGUUCAAGUAUCCCAUUUUUUUAUUUAAUUCAACUCAGAACUAAAUUACAUAUUGUGUUUGCUAUUGUGGCCACUUGAUUGUUUCUUCUUUUUAAUCACUGAUUGAUAAUGCUUGUUUUUCAUUCCAGUUGGAAGAAGCCGUUAGUGCAAGAAAAUCCCUGGAAUCGUCUCAAACUAAAAUUUCUGCAGAUUUUCAGAUUGGAAAAGAUGAGCUGCUCAAAAAAGUAGAGCAACUGUCUGCGGAAAAAGAAGAUCUGAGUUUGGAAAUGCAGAGGAAACAAGGGAAUAUAAUAUCAUUGGUAAUCCAUUUUGUCCUCCAUCUCCGACGAAGAGCAAUUUAAAAACCUCAAAUCGUCUGGUCAAUUCUUUCUCCUCGCUAUGAUCCAUAUUGUACAAUGUUCAACCAAAUUCAUAUCGUACAAUGGGCCUGUUGCAAACUUUUGCUAGAGCAAAAGUAAGAGUUGUUUCCUAUAGAUAAUGCCUCAAAAAUCACGAUGAGCGCAUUGGCAAAGUAUGAAAUGCACU